UACGUAGGGUGCGAGCGUUGUCCGGAAUUAUUGGGCGUAAAGGGCUCGUAGGCGGUUUGUCGCGUCGGGAGUGAAAACUCAGGGCUUAACCCUGAGCCUGCUUCCGAUACGGGCAGACUAGAGGUAUGCAGGGGAGAACGGAAUUCCUGGUGUAGCGGUGAAAUGCGCAGAUAUCAGGAGGAACACCGGUGGCGAAGGCGGUUCUCUGGGCAUUACCUGACGCUG
RNAcentral lists this ribosomal RNA (225 nucleotides) under uncultured bacterium. RNAcentral's name for it is "partial 16S ribosomal RNA". It matches the Rfam family "Bacterial small subunit ribosomal RNA", at positions 524 to 748 of the family's 1533-position model. The record is from RNAcentral.